UACGAAGGGGGCUAGCGUUGCUCGGAUUGACUGGGCGUAAAGGGCGCGUAGGCGGUUCGUACAGUCAGACGUGAAAUUCCUGGGCUCAACCUGGGGGCUGCGUUUGAUACGUGCGGACUUGAGUGCGGAAGAGGGUCGUGGAAUUCCCAGUGUAGAGGUGAAAUUCGUAGAUAUUGGGAAGAACACCGGUGGCGAAGGCGCUCAUCUGGCCCAAUACUGACGCUGAUGCGCGAAAGCUAGGGGAGCAAACGGG
RNAcentral lists this ribosomal RNA (253 nucleotides) under uncultured bacterium. Its description in RNAcentral is "partial 16S ribosomal RNA". It matches the Rfam family "Bacterial small subunit ribosomal RNA", at positions 524 to 776 of the family's 1533-position model. The record is from RNAcentral.